Long non-coding RNA from Protopterus annectens (West African lungfish), 282 nucleotides. RefSeq lists it as uncharacterized. The record is from RefSeq and is a predicted model, not a curated record. Lineage: Eukaryota; Metazoa; Chordata; Ceratodontiformes; Protopteridae. The transcript is spliced from 3 exons.
UAGCCCAUACAUAUACAACGUACCCGGAACGUUAUGCUUGCGGGACAUUUCCGGUACUAGUGUUUUGACUGGCAGCAUGACGCUAACACUCAAACUGGAUACGUGAUCUGGACCAUUUGGCCCCAUAUCAAGCACAGCUUUCUUAGCAAAAACAAGAAACACAAAGCAACAGCAUCGUAAGAUGGUGUGCUGGCCAACUAGUUUACUUACAUGGGAAAAACUUUCGCUGAUUUGAAUGUUUGAUCAACAGCCUUUCGAUGUUGUUGGUUCGAUGAACAGCCA